RNAcentral lists this ribosomal RNA (906 nucleotides) under uncultured archaeon. RNAcentral's name for it is "bacterial SSU rRNA". It matches the Rfam family "Archaeal small subunit ribosomal RNA", at positions 7 to 921 of the family's 1478-position model. The record is from RNAcentral.
GUUGAUUCUGCCGGACCCGACUGCUAUCAGAGUGGGACUAAGCCAUGCGAGUCAACAUAGCAAUAUGUGGCAUACGGCUCAGUAACACGUAGUCAACAUGCCCAGGGGACGUGGAUAACCUCGGGAAACUGAGGAUAAACCGCGAUAAGUCACUACUUCUGGAAUGGGUAAUGACUCAAAUCUAUAUGGCCCCUGGAUUGGACUGCGGCCGAUCAGGCUGUUGGUGAGGUAAUGGCCCACCAAACCUGUAACCGGUACGGGCUCUGAGAGGAGGAGCCCGGAGAUGGGCACUGAGACAAGGGCCCAGGCCCUAUGGGGCGCAGCAGGCGCGAAACCUCUGCAAUAGGCGAAAGCUUGACAGGGUUACUCUGAGUGAUUUCCGUUAAGGAAAUCUUUUGGCACCUCUAAAAAUGGUGCAGAAUAAGGGGUGGGCAAGUCUGGUGUCAGCCGCCGCGGUAAUACCAGCACCCCGAGUGGUCGGGACGUUUAUUGGGCCUAAAGCAUCCGUAGCCGGUUCUACAAGUCUUCCGUUAAAUCCAACUGCUUAACAGGUGGGCUGCGGAAGAUACUAUAGAGCUAGGAGGCGGGAGAGGCAAGCGGUACUCGAUGGGUAGGGGUAAAAUCCGUUGAUCCAUUGAAGACCACCAGUGGCGAAGGCGGCUUGCCAGAACGCGCUCGACGGUGAGGGAUGAAAGCUGGGGGAGCAAACCGGAUUAGAUACCCGGGUAGUCCCAGCUGUAAACGAUGCAGACUCGGUGAUGAGUUGGCUAUAUGCCAACUCAGUGCCGCAGGGAAGCCGUUAAGUUUGCCGCCUGGGGAGUACGGUCGCAAGACUGAAACUUAAAGGAAUUGGCGGGGGAGCACCACAAGGGGUGAAGCCUGCGGUUCAAUUGGAGUCAACGCCGG